GGGGAAUUAAUGUUAAGAUAUAUGCGCAACCAUGAGGAAGUCCAGAAACGGAGGACAGAAAACCCAGGUGACAAAUGCCACGGGCCUGGGCCAGCCAAGCCAUCCUGGAGCCCAGCUGCUUCCGCGCUGCCACCGCAUGAGAAGGGUGCUUUGUUUUCAUUGUCACAUUUGUUGUUUGGAAGGAUGCUCUUCAACCACGGAAUUCUCUGGGUGACCUUUCCAUAAGAAUCGCAUGCAAAUGUCGCGGUGGAAGGUCGUGAUUGGUCUGCAAAGGUCAUCUCCCUUCGUCUAGACAGUUGUCUUCACUAAAGAAGAAAGAAAAGUUCAGAUAGCUGGCGGGCUGGAAGUGGGGAGCCUUCCCCGCCCCCACGGAGCCUUCUGAACUCUGAUUUGUGCUCCUCACUGCUUUCCUCCUCCUCCUCUCCAUCCAUCAUCUCACGCUGCUGGAAGUCUCCGCCUCUGGGAAGAGUCCUUGCGUCCCCUGUAGGAUUCCUCCUUGCCUCUUACCCAGUGUAACGCUCUGACGUCACUCCGCUUCACAUGAAUCCACGGCACCUCUUACGCCAGAGGGCAUGAGUGGCUUUCUUUGCAUUUUCCUGGGGAUCCAGCCCAGGAUCUGGCUAACAGGCGCUCAGCUGAAGCCCGCUAAUUUAUGGACUGCUGCAAAAAUACAGAGGGGGUUAAAAAGUUGUAAAUGGGUCAGAGUUUGUUGGGAUGGUCU
This is a long non-coding RNA of Suricata suricatta (meerkat), 721 nucleotides long. RefSeq lists it as uncharacterized. NCBI's taxonomy places the organism in Eukaryota, Metazoa, Chordata, Mammalia, Carnivora, Herpestidae. The transcript is spliced from 3 exons. The record is from RefSeq and is a predicted model, not a curated record.